ACAUGGCCUCCAAGGAGUAAGAAACCCUGGACCACCCACCCUAGCAAGGACACUGAGAGCAAGAAAGAGGACCUCAGUUCCUGAGGAGUCCCUGUUUCAAUUUGGCCUCCAACUCUGAACAUUUCCCUCACAAUUUCUAUCCCAGAACCCCAUGAUAACAGAAGCAGCCUAGGCAGCCCUUCCUACUAUCCUGGAUGCCAUCAAUAAAGUUCACUGUGCCCAC
RNA transcript from Mus musculus (house mouse), 223 nucleotides. It is a transcript of the gene named predicted gene 7788, with no coding region annotated. NCBI's taxonomy places the organism in Eukaryota, Metazoa, Chordata, Mammalia, Rodentia, Muridae. The record is from RefSeq and is marked validated. The transcript has a single exon.